UCUGGCCGGCCGGUCCGCCUCCUCUGCGCCCCGACCCGGGCCGCCCGGCAGCCUCCCUCUGGCGCUGGGCCAGGAGUUCCCGCCGGCUGCGACGCGGCCACUUCAUUUCCUCUCCCAAGACCACGGUUUCCUUCUGCUCCAACUCUGACAGGAGCCUGGCCGCGUCCCUGCGACCUCCAGGACUGGGACCUCUCGCCCUGCACUCCCGGGGUGUGCCCUCUAGCAGACAGGAGCGCACACCCACCACCGCGCGCAGCAGGGCUCGGCGGACCCCGCCCCGUCCCUCCGUCCCACCGCCUGGUCCAGCCCUCCGCCCCACGCCCGGCUCCCUGAGGCCGCGUCGGACCUGCGCGCAUCCGGGCCGUGCGGUGCUGGUGCAGGCGGUUACAGCUUGGGCAAUCUUGGGCAAGGCCUUCAGCCCCUCUCAACUUCCCUUUCCGCAGUAGCUCUGCCCUCUGCGACACCAGAUAAAGUCCCAAACCCAGCCCUGACCUAACCAGCCCCAGUCUCCCUGCCCAGAACCACGGAGCUGCGUCUGCCCCCAGCCCCCGCCCCGGAAGGAGUAGGAUUGGAAGGCCAAGGGGCUCUUUCCAGCUUGAGGGAGUCCACAUUUGUCCUCCGGGGGUGUGUCUAGGCCCAGUUUUCUUAUUGGCACCAUGAAAGUAGCCGAGCGGUGCUAAGGUUUGAGGAGGUGCCAGGGAACUGGCCUUUCUCAGCCUGGGCCUGGAACACCAUUUGUCCUCUGCCAUCCUUGGGGACCAUGGGAGCACUCCAGGUCUUCUGGGGCUAAGGAGCCUGAGGAAAAUAAACCCAGACCCAACAGCUGCCUGGCCCUCCCACUGAGCGGCAGCCCAGGCAGUGGGCAGAGGAGACCGCGGAGAAGCCGGACCUGGGCCCAUCCCGGCUGGACACACCUGUGCUGCAGCCUUCUGCAGGUGUGGCCUGUGGUGUGGGGGGUGAGGGUUGGGGGCAUGGUGUGGGCUGUGCUGUGCCUGGUUGGGUGGCAGACGCCGACAUAGGAUGGCCAGGUCCUGUUCUCGGUGGCAGCAGCGACCUCUCCCUCACCUGUCACUGGGAGGCAGAAGUGGGCAGGAGGAGCUCUGGAGCAGGGAACCCAGGAGGCUGGGGCCAGCUGUCCGGCUAAAGUGGGGAGGGGAGCCACAGCAGGAGAGUGUGGGUCUCCUGUCCCGGGUGCUGUGGCCCACCUGGGCCUGGGGCUUGGCCUCUAACCCUCACCUGUGAGGUGGGUCCUCCCUCCGGUAGCCCUGAAGCCUCUCUCCAUGGCCUUCCUGCAGUCCACUGAGGACACCCCACUUUCUGCUCACCUGUUCGCAUCCCGUCUUUGUCCCCACACUGGUCACACCCAGGUGUGCACCCCUGGGCCAGAGUGGAAGUCCACUAGCCCCUCCCCACACCCUGUCCACCCUGCCCUGUGGCUCCCCCCUCGGGGUCAGGUGGGGGCUGAAUCCUGCUGGCCUCCCUGCCAUCUUCUGAGCCUGCCCUGUGCCCUCUGCUGUGCUGUGCUGGGAAGGCCAUGAGUGGGCACAAGCAAGGUGGGGACCCAAGGGCCCAGCCCCCAGGGACUUCCAAGGGACACAGACUGAGAACAGGCCUCCUCUGUCUGAGGAUCACUGCGCUGGGAGAACUGGGCAUGUUGGUGUCCAGCGCCUGGCCACACCUAGGACUUGGCACUCCAUGGAGGGGCCCUCCCUGCCCCCCCUCGUUACUGAUGAGGAGACUGGGCCUCGGUGGAAGCAGGACUCCCUCAGUCUCACUGGGUCAUGCCUGCCCUGUGGCCUGGAUGGUGUGACCCUAUAGCCACAGAGGUGAGUGACGGGAGUGCAACGGGCAGGCUGUGAGGCUCCUGGGACCCUCAGCUCUUCUUCAGGCCUGCCUGCUAUUGCGUGUGCAGUGCCUUCUUCCUGGACACUUGGGGGGGUGGUGGCUGGAGGCUUGAUCUCUCAGGUCUAGACCUCCGAGGACCUUCUGUGAUGAGGGUGACCAGUGGGGCUGAGAAGUGAGCGCAGGGGCAGGUGAGCUUGGGAGGAUCUGAGGCACGGCUCUGUCCUGCCUCUUCUGCAGUGUGGACGACUCUUGCUGCCCCAUCCCGGUCUCGCAGUGAAGCCUGGGCUCUGGGAGAGGGGCCUGGUGGCGAGAUCUUCAGACGUAGGAUGUGCUCAUUUCCUGUCCCUCAUAAGAAAUCUCCGCAGAACCCAGUGGCUUAGAGCCAGCAGUUAUCAUCUCACUGUGUCCAAGGGUCAGAGGUUGGCGUGGCAGAGCCGGGCAGUUGGGCUCUCAGCUGGGCUGGACACCCCGCUGCCGGCCUGUCUGCUGGGGAAGGCACCCUCCCCCUGUGGGCCGACCCCCUGUGAAGGCCCUUCCACGCCAGCCCGUCGAGGGUGCCCCUCGCACCGGCACCGUGUCGGAGGGUGGGAAGCCAGCCUGGCCCGGGAGGGAGGGGCGGCCAGGCAGGAUCUGGGGGGCACUCACUGCCAGCAGGGCCUCGGGGCACAGGCGAAGGGGAGGGCUGCUCCUUUUCCCUGGUAGUCACAUUUCUGGUGGUGGGGACCCUAGGAGUCGCCCAAGUGGACUGCAGGGCAGACUCCAGGGCAGAGCAGGGUCAAGAGGGGACAGGAGGCCAGGGCACCUAAGUGGCCCCUUUCCUCAGUGUCCCACUUUCCCAGCAGGACAGACGUGUUACUUGUUGUCACUCCUCUUCAGAAUCCAGGUGGCCAGGUGCGGUGGUGCACAGCUGCUGUCCCAGCUGCUCCCGAGGCUGAGGCAGGAGGGUCACUGGAGCCCAGGAGUCUGCGGUCAGCUGGGCAACACAGCAAGACCCCGUCUCAGAAUCUAUAAACAAAACAGACCAAGGUGAAGUCCACCCAACAGGCCAUGAUCAGGGAGCAGACAGCCCGUGACAUUUAGGGCACUCAGCAUUGCGCAACUGCCCGCUCCCGUUUCAGGACCUUCCCCUGACCCCGUGGCAACACCCUGCACCAUUACCUAAUCGUUCCGAGGCCCGCCACCUGGUGAGCACUGCUGUGCCUUCUGUCCCUGAGGACUCCACGGUUCCUGCACUGGCCUUCGUGCAGACGGCAUCACACCCAUGGGCCUCUCUCCCAGCACCAUGUCCGUGCAGGAUUUUCAACACUUCUCUCCUUUUUAUGGCAGAAUAACAUUCCAUGGUACCCAGAUGCCGUGUCACCUGCCCAUGGACAGGGACACUUGGGGCAUUUCAACCUUGGGCUGUGGUGAACCGUGCUGCCGUGGAUGUCCAUGUACGAGUACGUGUGUGGACAUGUUUUCAUUUCCCGUAGGUUUGUACCUAGGAGUGGCAUGGCUGGGGGUUUGUGAGUCUGGCUUCCUGAGGAGCACCACGUUCCGCAGCAGCCCCACAGCAGGGUGUGAGGCUCCAGUUUCCCCAUGUCCUUGCCAACCCUCCUUACUGUCACUUUCUGCGGGGCUCUGGUAUUUUUUUUCUUGAUUAAAGCCACUCGUGUGGGUGUGAGGUGGGUCUCUCCGAGGGCCUGUUGCCGUUUGUAGUCUUCUCUGGAGAAAUGUCCCUUCCCCGCAGCCCUGAGGAUGGGACCCAAGCCCUCACAGGUGCUAGACCAGGUUUUUAGAGUUCUUUAAACAUUCCAGAUAUUAAAUUUAUUAAAUAUGUGAUCUGCAAACAUUU
Molecule: non-coding RNA, 3679 nt
Organism: Ictidomys tridecemlineatus (thirteen-lined ground squirrel)
Lineage: Eukaryota; Metazoa; Chordata; Mammalia; Rodentia; Sciuridae
Source: RefSeq, a predicted model, not a curated record